RNAcentral lists this ribosomal RNA (429 nucleotides) under bacterium. RNAcentral describes it as "partial 16S ribosomal RNA". It matches the Rfam family "Bacterial small subunit ribosomal RNA", at positions 355 to 776 of the family's 1533-position model. The record is from RNAcentral.
UGGGGAAUUUUGGACAAUGGGGGCAACCCUGAUCCAGCAAUGCCGCGUGUGUGAAGAAGGCCUUCGGGUUGUAAAGCACUUUUGUCCGGGAAGAAAUCGCACCUGAUAAUACCGGGUGUGGAUGACGGUACCGGAAGAAUAAGGACCGGCUAACUACGUGCCAGCAGCCGCGGUAAUACGUAGGGUCCAAGCGUUAAUCGGAAUUACUGGGCGUAAAGCGUGCGCAGGCGGUUGUGCAAGACCGAUGUGAAAUCCCCGGGCUUAACCUGGGAAGUGCAUUGGUGAAUGCACGGCUAGAGUGUGUCAGAGGGGGGUAGAAUUCCACGUGUAGCAGUGAAAUGCGUAGAGAUGUGGAGGAAUACCGAUGGCGAAGGCAGCCCCCUGGGAUAACACUGACGCUCAUGCACGAAAGCGUGGGGAGCAAACAGG